This 665-nucleotide long non-coding RNA is filed under the name Brassica rapa (field mustard). RNAcentral's name for it is "long non-coding RNA (BRAP_LNC002172)". Lineage: Eukaryota; Viridiplantae; Streptophyta; Magnoliopsida; Brassicales; Brassicaceae. The record is from RNAcentral.
UAUACUCGUCUCAUUUGUAAUUAUGAAUGAACCUUCUCUUUUAAAAGUUAUAAAUAAAAUCUUCCCAUUUGGACAUUAUUAAUUAAGAAAAUAUUAUUUGACCACUGACUGGGGACAACCAAGAAGAGCAUAGCUGCAUAGGAAUAUUUGACCAUGAAUGCACGUGUGGGUGGACAAGAGCACACGAGUGCUUCGCUGUAAUGGGUGGUGUGGUUAGCUUAGGAAUGUGUGCGCCACGUCCGUUCCACAUGGGAGGAUAUAUCGCAUGCACGAGCCAACUUGGUCCUUUCUAACCCUUUCACAAAAAAAAAACUUGGUCCUUUCUAAUUUUUAACUACAAGCAUUCCUUGAAGCUUCUCCAUAAUUACUACACUAAGUGUGUAUUUUUAUAGAGAACACAGAUUUCCAGAACCAUUAUUGAUAAAACUAAAAAUUAAUCGUGACGAAUGACGAUACUAGAAUUUCAAUAAUGGUGUUUCAAAAAAAAAAAAUCUCAAUAAUCACGCAGAUAUAAAAGUAAUAUUCACAGAAUCUGUAUAUAUUAAAAUUGUCUUAUAUAUAUCGACCGAGUAUCAAAAACUGAUAAAAAAACAUUUAUGCGAAACGUCAAAUUGGAAUUAUCUUCUUUUUACUGCUUGGACUUUUUCUUGCUCAUUAUAUCGAUG